GAUGAACGCUGGCGGCGUGCCUAAUACAUGCAAGUCGAGCGAACGGACGAUAAGCUUGCUUCUCUGAUGUUAGCGGCGGACGGGUGAGUAACACGUGGAUAACCUACCUAUAAGACUGGGAUAACUUCGGGAAACCGUAGCUAAUACCGGAUAAUAUUUUGAACCGCAUGGUUCAAAAGUUCAAGACGGUCUUGCUGUCACUUAUAGAUGGUUCCGCGCUGCAUUAGCUAGUUGGUAAGGUAACGGCUUACCAAGGCAACGAUGCAUAGCCGACCUGAGAGGGUGAUCGGCCACACUGGAACUGAGACACGGUCCAGACUCCUACGGGAGGCAGCAGUAGGGAAUAUUCCGCAAUGGGCGAAAGCCUGACGGAGCAACGCCGCGUGAGUGAAGAAGGUCUUCGGAUCGUAAAACUCUGUUAUUAGGGAAGAACAUAUGUGUAAGUAACUGUGCACAUCUUGACGGUACCUAAUCAGAAAGCCACGGCUAACUACGUG
This 497-nucleotide ribosomal RNA is filed under the name uncultured bacterium. RNAcentral describes it as "partial 16S ribosomal RNA". It matches the Rfam family "Bacterial small subunit ribosomal RNA", at positions 28 to 507 of the family's 1533-position model. The record is from RNAcentral.